UGGGGAAUUUUGGACAAUGGGCGAAAGCCUGAUCCAGCCAUGCCGCGUGAGUGAAGAAGGCCUUCGGGUUGUAAAGCUCUUUUAGCCGGAAAGAAAGAGUUGCAAUGAAUAAUUGUGAUUUAUGACGGUACCGACAGAAAAAGCACCGGCUAACUACGUGCCAGCAGCCGCGGUAAUACGUAGGGUGGGAGCGUUAAUCGGAAUUACUGGGCGUAAAGGGUGCGCAGGCGGUCUUGCAAGUCAGAUGUGAAAGCCCCGGGCUUAACCUGGGAAUUGCGUUUGAAACUACAAGGCUAGAGUGCAGCAGAGGGGAGUGGAAUUCCAUGUGUAGCAGUGAAAUGCGUAGAGAUGUGGAAGAACACCGAUGGCGAAGGCAGCUCCCUGGGUUGACACUGACGCUCAUGCACGAAAGCGUGGGGAGCAAACA
This 427-nucleotide ribosomal RNA is filed under the name uncultured beta proteobacterium. Its description in RNAcentral is "bacterial SSU rRNA". It matches the Rfam family "Bacterial small subunit ribosomal RNA", at positions 355 to 774 of the family's 1533-position model. Lineage: Bacteria; Pseudomonadati; Pseudomonadota; Betaproteobacteria. The record is from RNAcentral.